Molecule: unclassified non-coding RNA, 151 nt
Filed under: Candidatus Williamhamiltonella defendens
Lineage: Bacteria; Pseudomonadati; Pseudomonadota; Gammaproteobacteria; Enterobacterales; Enterobacteriaceae
Description: Candidatus Hamiltonella defensa partial 16S-23S ribosomal RNA intergenic spacer
Rfam family: Bacterial small subunit ribosomal RNA (bases 1-119)
Source: RNAcentral
UUGCAAAAGAAGUAGGUAGCUUAACCGCAAGGAGGGCGCUUACCACUUUGUGAUUCAUGACUGGGGUGAAGUCGUAACAAGGUAACCGNAGGGGAACUUGCGNUUGGNUCACUUCCUUAACUAUAAACUCUCACUAUCAGUGUCCACUCAC